UUGAAGGGUUGGCAGUGGAGGUGAAGUUAUCUUGCUGGAGAGCUCUGCCUACCUGCGGCCUUCUGAAAAAAAGUGCAAAGCUGUCUCCCAGUCAAAGAGAAAUUGGAACGGCUGCUGGCAUGUUGAAGUGUUGCACUGGAAGAGGCAUUCUGCAGGCAUAGCCAAGGUGGCAAGAACAUGGAAAAGGAUGCUGUUCUGCAUGAUGUCAAUGGAGAUAUCCAGUACUGGGACAAAACCACAAAAGUAAAGCACUGCAAAACCAGAAUAUCGAGCAGGAAGAUCUUCAGCUGAUAAUGCCCUCUUUGCUCAGUACGAAGACAGCAUUUGCCUUGAUGAAUGUGUUACCUAUGGAAAAGGCUCCACCUUUCUGCUGACAUCUGAGGCCUGACAGGCAAGUUAAACGUUUAAAAACUGCACAACAUUGUUUAUAUUUUGCAGCGGAUCUGUUGAAUAGCAGAUUCCUAGAAAAAUGAAGCAUUGUUCAGCCUUAGAUUACUUGAGCUUGCCAGAUAAAUUCAGCUGGGAAAAGAAGGCAAGACUAAGGGAAGAAUCCAACAGGCCAGCAUUUAGGGUAUUCUGAUGUUUGUUGCUUAACCCACUAGACUGUACAGGAUGUUGGCUUUCAUUGCUCUUAAGUUCUGCUCUUGAAACAGUCUCUCUACAAAUAAACAAGCAGAGUUCUAGGACCUGCUUCCCAUGCUGUUUCAGCUAAUUCUUCCUCGUGUGCGAUCUGAUCACAGACUGCUUGGGUUUGUCUGGAUCCAGAGCACAAAUCUUGCAGUUACAUUUUAAGGGUUCUCACCUAUAAAGUGUAAUAUUCAAUUUGUAGUUUCUGCUCCAGUAUAUGUUUGAUUGCCUAAGAAAAAAUGGAAAUAUUAUAAUCCCUUAGACUAACAAAAAUGAUGAUUAGAACACUUCAGUGAAGGUGCAAGCUCUCCUCAGGCAUUCAGUCUCAGUCACAGAAAGAAACUGUCAUGCAAUUGGUUGGAGCUGUGAAUCUGUCUCAUUUUAAAAUAAUCCUUCAAGAUGAGUCAUUCUUUCUUCAACCCCCACUGUAACUUAACUCCAAGAGUAGGAAAAAAAGAAAACCAGCUGUAACUUCCACUCCUUUCUUCCUUCUCAGUCUAAAUCCCCUCACAAACUCCAGAGGAGCACUUAUGAGUGGCCAUUGGCUCAGCCUUUUCCCAUCUGAUAUUCCAAAGAUGAAAUGGCAAUUAGCCUUUGCCUGCUAGGCUAAUUGACCUUUAGCCCUUGUCGUUUCAGUUGAUUACCAAGGCAGUCUAGUUGGCUGUUUCUCAAAGCCUUAUGAAGUCUUAAGAUAAUAGGAGGCUUCAGGCUGAAACAUGUGUGAAAAGACAGUUUUUCCCCACUCUCCUGUUUUUAUCACCUAUACCAGUUCUUUAGCUAAUCACUGUGUCAUAGAAAUUGGUCCUGAUUCUCCCAUAUCCUGAGGGUGUGAACUGCUGUGCGGGGGACUAAGAAAGACUACUAACUUGACAACUCUGGCAUUUCCUUUACUGUUAGUUCCUAAAAUGAACUUUUCACAUUUCAUACCUCUCUCUA
This is a non-coding RNA of Coturnix japonica (Japanese quail), 1563 nucleotides long. NCBI's taxonomy places the organism in Eukaryota, Metazoa, Chordata, Aves, Galliformes, Phasianidae. The record is from RefSeq and is a predicted model, not a curated record.